Molecule: ribosomal RNA, 626 nt
Filed under: Cryptococcus sp. RY-5
Lineage: Eukaryota; Fungi; Basidiomycota; Tremellomycetes; Tremellales; Cryptococcaceae
Description: eukaryotic LSU rRNA
Rfam family: Eukaryotic large subunit ribosomal RNA
Source: RNAcentral
UAAGCGGAGGAAAAGAAACUAACUAGGAUUCCCUUAGUAACGGCGAGUGAACCGGGAUGAGCUCAAAUUUGAAAUCUGGCGUCUUUCAGGCGUCCGAGUUGUAAUCUAUAGAGGCGUUUUCCGCGCCGGACCGCGUCCAAGUCUCUUGGAAUAGAGUAUCAAAGAGGGUGACAAUCCCGUACUUGACGCGACAACCGGUGCUCUGUGAUACGUUCUCAAUGAGUCGAGUUGUUUGGGAAUGCAGCUCUAAAUGGGUGGUAAAUUCCAUCUAAGGCUAAAUAUUGGCGAGAGACCGAUAGCGAACAAGUACCGUGAGGGAAAGAUGAAAAGCACUUUGGAAAGAGAGUUAAACAGCACGUGAAAUUGUUAAAAGGGAAACGAUUGAAGUCAGUCGUGUGGGAAGUAUUCAGCCGUCUCUGGCGGUGUAUUUGCUUCUCACGGGUCAACAUCAGUUUGAUCCGGUAGAAAAAGGCGGGAAGAAGGUGGCACCCUCGGGUGUGUUAUAGCUUCCUGUCAUAUGUGCCGGACCAGACUGAGGAACGCAGCUUGCAGCAAUGCCGGGGUUCGCCCACGUACAAGCUUAGGAUGUUGACAUAAUGGCUUUAAACGACCCGUCUUGAAACACG